GGGGUUAGUGUUAAAUUGUUACUUUAACUGUAAGUUCCCCUAUAAAA
This 47-nucleotide transfer RNA is filed under the name Echinorhynchus truttae. RNAcentral describes it as "transfer RNA-Asn". The record is from RNAcentral. Lineage: Eukaryota; Metazoa; Acanthocephala; Palaeacanthocephala; Echinorhynchida; Echinorhynchidae.